UUCUCUCAUGAUUAUUCGUCAUGAAGAAGUUCUUUGAGCAAAGACAUUGUUCCUAGUCCCCUAUCACCAAAAGUUUCUCUCGAAUAGGCAUUACAAAUCACCGGCUUCUGUAAAUAUGAUCUCCGAAGAAAAUAAUACUUGAAUACAUACACAGAAUUCUGUGGCAGGAACGUUGGAAAUGGUAUUCUAUAUAGCCUGGAAUUUAAAAUAUAGUUUAACAUCUAUUAGGUUAUCGAUCGUUGAC
RNAcentral lists this long non-coding RNA (244 nucleotides) under Populus trichocarpa (black cottonwood). Its description in RNAcentral is "long non-coding RNA (PTRI_LNC002696)". Lineage: Eukaryota; Viridiplantae; Streptophyta; Magnoliopsida; Malpighiales; Salicaceae. The record is from RNAcentral.